ACGCUAGCUACAGGCUUAACACAUGCAAGUCGAGGGGCAGCAUAGUCUUAGCUUGCUAAGGCCGAUGGCGACCGGCGCACGGGUGAGUAACACGUAUCCAACCUGCCGUCUACUCUUGGACAGCCUUCUGAAAGGAAGAUUAAUACAAGAUGGCAUCAUGAGUCCGCAUGUUCACAUGAUUAAAGGUAUUCCGGUAGACGAUGGGGAUGCGUUCCAUUAGAUAGUAGGCGGGGUAACGGCCCACCUAGUCUUCGAUGGAUAGGGGUUCUGAGAGGAAGGUCCCCCACAUUGGAACUGAGACACGGUCCAAACUCCUACGGGAGGCAGCAGUGAGGAAUAUUGGUCAAUGGGCGAGAGCCUGAACCAGCCAAGUAGCGUGAAGGAUGACUGCCCUAUGGGUUGUAAACUUCUUUUAUAAAGGAAUAAAGUCGGGUAUGGAUACCCGUUUGCAUGUACUUUAUGAAUAAGGAUCGGCUAACUCCGUGCCAGCAGCCGCGGUAAUACGGAGGAUCCGAGCGUUAUCCGGAUUUAUUGGGUUUAAAGGGAGCGUAGAUGGAUGUUUAAGUCAGUUGUGAAAGUCUGCGGCUCAACCGUAAAAUUGCAGUUGAUACUGGAUAUCUUGAGUGCAGUUGAGGCAGGCGGAAUUCGUGGUGUAGCGGUGAAAUGCUUAGAUAUCACGAAGAACUCCGAUUGCGAAGGCAGCCUGCUAAGCUGCAACUGACAUUGAGGCUCGAAAGUGUGGGUAUCAAACAGGAUUAGAUACCCUGGUAGUCCACACGGUAAACGAUGAAUACUCGCUGUUUGCGAUAUACUGCAAGCGGCCAAGCGAAAGCGUUAAGUAUUCCACCUGGGGAGUACGCCGGCAACGGUGAAACUCAAAGGAAUUGACGGGGGCCCGCACAAGCGGAGGAACAUGUGGUUUAAUUCGAUGAUACGCGAGGAACCUUACCCGGGCUUAAAUUGCAGAUGAAUUACGGUGAAAGCCGUAAGCCGCAAGGCAUCUGUGAAGGUGCUGCAUGGUUGUCGUCAGCUCGUGCCGUGAGGUGUCGGCUUAAGUGCCAUAACGAGCGCAACCCUUGUUGUCAGUUACUAACAGGUUCCGCUGAGGACUCUGACAAGACUGCCAUCGUAAGAUGUGAGGAAGGUGGGGAUGACGUCAAAUCAGCACGGCCCUUACGUCCGGGGCUACACACGUGUUACAAUGGGGGGUACAGAGGGCCGCUACCACGCGAGUGGAUGCCAAUCCCCAAAACCUCUCUCAGUUCGGACUGGAGUCUGCAACCCGACUCCACGAAGCUGGAUUCGCUAGUAAUCGCGCAUCAGCCACGGCGCGGUGAAUACGUUCCCGGGCCUUGUACACACCGCCCGUCAAGCCAUGGGAGCCGGGGGUACCUGAAGUGCGUAACCGCGAGGAGCGCCCUAGGGUAAAACUGGUGACUGGGGCU
This 1445-nucleotide ribosomal RNA is filed under the name uncultured organism. RNAcentral describes it as "SSU rRNA". It matches the Rfam family "Bacterial small subunit ribosomal RNA". The record is from RNAcentral.